Molecule: transfer RNA, 76 nt
Filed under: Oscillospiraceae bacterium
Lineage: Bacteria; Bacillati; Bacillota; Clostridia; Eubacteriales; Oscillospiraceae
Description: tRNA-Asn
Rfam family: tRNA
About the family: Transfer RNA (tRNA) molecules are approximately 80 nucleotides in length.
Source: RNAcentral
UCCUCAAUAGCUCAGCUGGUAGAGCAUACGGCUGUUAACCGUAGGGUCGUUGGUUCGAAUCCAACUUGAGGAGCCA